This is a long non-coding RNA of Plutella xylostella (diamondback moth), 428 nucleotides long. RefSeq lists it as uncharacterized. NCBI's taxonomy places the organism in Eukaryota, Metazoa, Arthropoda, Insecta, Lepidoptera, Plutellidae. The record is from RefSeq and is a predicted model, not a curated record.
AAAUUACUUAAAUUCUUAAACUUGAACAAAGUUUUAUGCUGUGAGUUAUUCUAAUUUAAGUUCUUACCACCCCAGACUUGGGGUUCUUGGUUGGAGCUGAGACCUAAUAUAAGAAUCUGGCAGCUUCGUGACUUCUACCUUGAGAUCCCGAUACCAACACUUCCACUUCGGAGAUCCGCGGCCGACGCAACUAUCUACAACAUCACGAACAGCGAAAAUCGUCCACGUACCAGUGGUUACCAAAUGUUCCACAUCGGACCUAAGGCUCAGGGAAGUGCGGUGUAACUGAAAUUUAUAUUGUAAAUGUGCACAACCGACCUAGGCGCGAUCACCCAAGUACCCUCCUUCAACUUAAAAAACUUAAAUUCCUUCGACUUAAGAAACUUAAAUUUUGUAAAUAUUAGGUAAUAAUAAAUAGUUAAAAUCUA